This 117-nucleotide small RNA is filed under the name Marmota monax (woodchuck). Lineage: Eukaryota; Metazoa; Chordata; Mammalia; Rodentia; Sciuridae. The record is from RNAcentral.
GCCAGAUACAAUGGUGCAAAUCUGUGAUCCCAGCUACUCGGGAGGCUGAGGCAGAAUGAUUCUUUGAGCCCAGGAGCUCAAGACCAGUCUGAGCAUCAUAGCAAGACUGUGUUUCUA